Molecule: ribosomal RNA, 468 nt
Filed under: uncultured bacterium
Lineage: Bacteria
Description: partial 16S ribosomal RNA
Rfam family: Bacterial small subunit ribosomal RNA
Source: RNAcentral
GACGAACGCUGGCGGCGUGCUUAACACAUGCAAGUCGAACGGUGAAGCUCCAGCUUGCUGGAGUGGAUCAGUGGCGAACGGGUGAGUAACACGUGAGCAACCUGCCCCUGACUCUGGAAUAAGCGCUGGAAACGGCGUCUAAUACUGGAUACGAGAAGGGUCCGCAUGGGCACUUUCUGGAAAGUUUUUCGGUUGGGGAUGGGCUCGCGGCCUAUCAGCUUGUUGGUGAGGUAAUGGCUCACCAAGGCGACGACGGGUAGCCGGCCUGAGAGGGCGACCGGCCACACUGGGACUGAGACACGGCCCAGACUCCCACGGGAGGCAGCAGUGGGGAAUAUUGCACAAUGGGCGAAAGCCUGAUGCAGCGACGCCGCGUGAGGGAUGACGGCCUUCGGGUUGUAAACCUCUUUCAGCAGGGAAGAAGCGAAAGUGACGGUACCUGCAGAAGAAGCACCGGCUAACUACGUG